RNAcentral lists this long non-coding RNA (1291 nucleotides) under Gallus gallus (chicken). RNAcentral's name for it is "lncRNA (ENSGALG00010008684.1)". The record is from RNAcentral. Lineage: Eukaryota; Metazoa; Chordata; Aves; Galliformes; Phasianidae.
GUCUUUUUAGGGAUUUUUGUGUGCUUGAGGCCUCUCAAAGCCUGUGGUGUCGGCUCACCACGAGGUUUUAGUAAUGCCACUCUCUGGGGAACACUGCUGGCUUAGCUGAACUCUGAACAAGCAGACCAGUGCACAAGUGCACUUGAGCUCUUUCCUUUCUACUCAUUUGCAACACAUGCCAGGCACCUGCCAAUGUCAAGUAUGGCAAGAAGCUCACCUGAAGGUUACACAGCUGGGCAUGCAUGGACUGCAGGCACCUGUAUCUGUAAGGAAACCAGCAUGCUUGCUCACUUCUUGUGCCAGAGAAAGAAAUGAACCAGUCAGGGCUAAUGAAUGAUGCAGUCCUCUGUGGCUGAAACAUUGCCCUCCCAUCCAACAAUGAAAACUGGGGGGGAGAUCCAUAUACAGGAGCUGACAUGAAUAAAUGGGAAGUCUUAUUCAGAAGUGCACAAAGCCAAAGCUUCAUUCCCUUCUGCUGGGAGGGCAGCACACCUGGUCAGAAGAAGCAAGCAGCAGGUGAGCUGCUGCUUGUGAGGCUAUGCAUAGUGAGGGGAAGAACUUCUACCUCCAGUAAUCCCAGUAGCAAGGAGAGGGUGGGCCUGUGAGGGAGGUCCAGCCAGUUCUGAAGAGCAGUUUUGGUUUAAGAAAGGCUUACAGGAAGCAACAGGCUCUGCCCAGGCCCUGUGCCAGCCUCUUGUCAAACCUCCCAGCAUGAGGAAGAGUGGAAGGAGAGAAGCAUGAGGAGAUCAUGCCUCUGAUGGCAGAGAGGACAGCACUGAAGGAAAGGGGGGGAAAUGAUGUGAAGGUCAACUGUUCAAAGAACAAGGAAGCACUGUAGAUGUUUGGUCUUGUAAUUCUGCCUACACACCUGUGCCUUGUUAAGCCAGCAGUUGUUGACUCAGCCUGUAUUGUUCCUACGUCUCUUGGGCCUGUGGCCAGCUGUACCACUAAAUGUUUCAUUUGCAAUUAUUUGAAUAGUAUUCCUUUUCAAAAUGGAGCAGGAUGGUAGUCUGUAUGGGGUAGCAACAACACAGUGCUGUGCAAUAGCUUCCUCAUUCCCCUGAAGCUGAAAUAUCAGCACUGCAUCUCAAACCUACACAGGUCUCCUGUGAAACGCUACUGGGUCCCUCCAUUAGCACAGUUAGAAGUAUGAAGCAGAAUUAUCUUCUGUUAAGAACUAUGCCUUUGCUUAGCCAUAGUUCUGGAGGUCUUUGUGUGCCAAGUUUUUUCCAAAGUGGCUAAAUAUGCUUUUGACAGUUGCCCCAAAAGUAGAACUCAAAUUAAAAAAGAC